GGGACACGUGGUAUCCUGUCUGAAUAUGGGGGGACCAUCCUCCAAGGCUAAAUACUCCUGACUGACCGAUAGUGAACCAGUACCGUGAGGGAAAGGCGAAAAGAACCCCGGCGAGGGGAGUGAAAAAGAACCUGAAACCGUGUACGUACAAGCAGUGGGAGCACCUUCGGGUGUGACUGCGUACCUUUUGUAUAAUGGGUCAGCGACUUAUAUUCUGUAGCAAGGUUAACCGUAUAGGGGAGCCGCAGGGAAACCGAGUCUUAACUGGGCGUUAAGUUGCAGGGUAUAGACCCGAAACCCGGUGAUCUAGCCAUGGGCAGGUUGAAGGUUGGGUAACACUAACUGGAGGACCGAACCGACUAAUGUUGAAAAAUUAGCGGAUGACUUGUGGCUGGGGGUGAAAGGCCAAUCAAACCGGGAGAUAGCUGGUUCUCCCCGAAAGCUAUUUAGGUAGCGCCUCGUGAACUCAUCUUCGGGGGUAGAGCACUGUUUCGGCUAGGGGGUCAUCCCGACUUACCAACCCGAUGCAAACUACGAAUACCGAAGAAUGUUAUCACGGGAGACACACGGCGGGUGCUAACGUCCGUCGUGAAGAGGGAAACAACCCAGACCGCCAGCUAAGGUCCCAAAGUCAUGGUUAAGUGGGAAACGAUGUGGGAAGGCACAGACAGCCAGGAUGUUGGCUUAGAAGCAGCCAUCAUUUAAAGAAAGCGU
RNAcentral lists this ribosomal RNA (714 nucleotides) under Klebsiella pneumoniae subsp. ozaenae. RNAcentral's name for it is "partial 23S ribosomal RNA". It matches the Rfam family "Bacterial large subunit ribosomal RNA", at positions 419 to 1135 of the family's 2925-position model. The record is from RNAcentral. Lineage: Bacteria; Pseudomonadati; Pseudomonadota; Gammaproteobacteria; Enterobacterales; Enterobacteriaceae.